RNAcentral lists this ribosomal RNA (495 nucleotides) under uncultured bacterium. Its description in RNAcentral is "partial 16S ribosomal RNA". It matches the Rfam family "Bacterial small subunit ribosomal RNA", at positions 30 to 507 of the family's 1533-position model. The record is from RNAcentral.
UGAACGCUGGCGGCGUGCCUAAUACAUGCACGUCGAGCGAACGGACGAGAAGCUUGCUUCUCUGAUGUUAGCGGCGGACGGGUGAGUAACACGUGGAUAACCUACCUAUAAGACUGGGAUAACUUCGGGAAACCGGAGCUAAUACCGGAUAAUAUUUUGAACCGCAUGGUUCAAAAGUGAAAGACGGUCUUGCUGUCACUUAUAGAUGGAUCCGCGCUGCAUUAGCUAGUUGGUAAGGUAACGGCUUACCAAGGCAACGAUGCAUAGCCGACCUGAGAGGGUGAUCGGCCACAAUGGAACUGAGAAACGGUCCAGACUCCUACGGGAGGCAGCAGUAGGGAAUCUUCCGCAAUGGGCGAAAGCCUGACGGAGCAACGCCGCGUGAGUGAUGAAGGUCUUCGGAUCGUAAAACUCUGUUAUUAGGGAAGAACAUAUGUGUAAGUAACUGUGCACAUCUUGACGGUACCUAAUCAGAAAGCCACGGCUAACUACGUG